AAUCAACGCUGGCGGCGUGCCUAACACAUGCAAGUCGAACGCGAAAGCCCCUUCGGGGGCAAGUAGAGUGGCGUCCGGGUGAGUAACACGUGGGUAAUCUACCUCCGGGUGGGGAAUAACUCGCCGAAAGGCGGGCUAAUACCGCAUAAUGCAGCGGCACCGAAUGGUGAUUAGUUGUUAAAGCGGGGGACCUUAGGGCCUCGCGUCUGGAGAGGAGCCUGCGGCAGAUUAGCUUGUUGGUAGGGAAUGGCCUACCAAGGCUGCGAUCUGUAGCUGGUCUGAGAGGACGGCCAGCCACACUGGCACUGACACACGGGCCAGACUCCUACGGGAGGCAGCAGUGGGAAUUUUGGGCAAUGGGCGAAAGCCUGACCCAGCAACGCCGCGUGAAGGAGGAAAUCCUUCGGGAUGUAAACUUCACAAGCAAGGGAAGAGCGCGCAGGGUCGAAUAAACUCUGCGUCCGACGGUACCUUGCGUAAGCCACGGCUAACUACGUGCCAGCCGCCGCCGUAAC
RNAcentral lists this ribosomal RNA (515 nucleotides) under uncultured bacterium. RNAcentral describes it as "bacterial SSU rRNA". It matches the Rfam family "Bacterial small subunit ribosomal RNA", at positions 32 to 524 of the family's 1533-position model. The record is from RNAcentral.